CCCCCCGCCCAGUCGAUAGCCACGAGUUGAAAACAGCUGACAUAGUACACUACAAAAAGAGUCAAAGCUGAACAUCGCAAAUAUUUUGAUCUAGCAAUUACAGUGAAGAUGAAAGAAAAUGAUAUAAUUGAUGUUAUGCAUGAAAAUGUAUACCGUUUUAAAAACAUGUUUAGAAACAGUGGUACAUGCUAAAUGUAGUGCAUUUGUCAUAGGCGAAAUA
Molecule: non-coding RNA, 220 nt
Organism: Biomphalaria pfeifferi
Lineage: Eukaryota; Metazoa; Mollusca; Gastropoda; Planorbidae
Source: the annotation of a GenBank genome assembly